This 676-nucleotide ribosomal RNA is filed under the name uncultured bacterium. RNAcentral describes it as "bacterial SSU rRNA". It matches the Rfam family "Bacterial small subunit ribosomal RNA", at positions 8 to 673 of the family's 1533-position model. The record is from RNAcentral.
AGAGUUUGAUCAUGGCUCAGGAUGAACGCUAGCUACAGGCUUAACACAUGCAAGUCGAGGGGCAGCAUGGUCUUAGCUUGCUAAGGCCGAUGGCGACCGGCGCACGGGUGAGUAACGCGUAUCCAACCUGCCUUACACUCUUGGACAGCCUUCUGAAAGGGAGAUUAAUACAAGAUGUUAUCAUGAGUAAGCAUUUUCGCGUGAUUAAAGGUUUACCGGUGUAAGAUGGGGAUGCGUUCCAUUAGAUAGUAGGCGGGGUAACGGCCCACCUAGUCUUCGAUGGAUAGGGGUUCUGAGAGGAAGGUCCCCCACAUUGGAACUGAGACACGGUCCAAACUCCUACGGGAGGCAGCAGUGAGGAAUAUUGGUCAAUGGACGAGAGUCUGAACCAGCCAAGUAGCGUGAAGGAUGAAGGUUCUAUGGAUUGUAAACUUCUUUUAUACGGGAAUAAACGGAUCCACGUGUGGAUUUUUGCAUGUACCGUAUGAAUAAGGAUCGGCUAACUCCGUGCCAGCAGCCGCGGUAAUACGGAGGAUCCGAGCGUUAUCCGGAUUUAUUGGGUUUAAAGGGAGCGUAGAUGGGUUGUUAAGUCAGUUGUGAAAGUUUGCGGCUCAACCGUAAAAUUGCAAUUGAUACUGGCAGUCUUGAGUACAGUUGAGGUAGGCGGAAUUCGUGG